UUCCAUAUAAUAAUUUUAGUCAGCAAUUGACCUUGAGUAACUCAAUUCUUUGAAAUCAAAACUGUGGAUAAGGUCAAUGUGGCUAAAUUCAGAUACAGGUCAUGCUUCCAUCACAGCAGAUAAAUUACAGUGGUGACAAUGAGUCCUGUAACAUUU
Mus pahari (shrew mouse) is the source of this 156-nucleotide small nucleolar RNA. RefSeq annotates it as small nucleolar RNA SNORA1. The record is from RefSeq and is a predicted model, not a curated record. The transcript has a single exon. Lineage: Eukaryota; Metazoa; Chordata; Mammalia; Rodentia; Muridae.